AGUGAACGCUGGCGGUAGGCCUAACACAUGCAAGUCGAACGGCAGCACAGUAAGAGCUUGCUCUUACGGGUGGCGAGUGGCGGACGGGUGAGGAAUACAUCGGAAUCUACUUUUUCGUGGGGGAUAACGUAGGGAAACUUACGCUAAUACCGCAUACGACCUACGGGUGAAAGCAGGGGAUCUUCGGACCUUGCGCGAUUGAAUGAGCCGAUGUCGGAUUAGCUAGUUGGCGGGGUAAAGGCCCACCAAGGCGACGAUCCGUAGCUGGUCUGAGAGGAUGACCAGCCACACUGGAACUGAGACACGGUCCAGACUCCUACGGGAGGCAGCAGUGGGGAAUAUUGGACAAUGGGCGCAAGCCUGAUCCAGCCACACCGCGUGGGUGAAGAAGGCCUUCGGGUUGUAAAGCCCUUUUGUUGGGAAAGAAAAGCAGCAGGUUAAUACCCCGCUGUUCUGACGGUACCCAAAGAAUAAGCACCGGCUAACUUCGUG
RNAcentral lists this ribosomal RNA (492 nucleotides) under uncultured bacterium. RNAcentral's name for it is "partial 16S ribosomal RNA". It matches the Rfam family "Bacterial small subunit ribosomal RNA", at positions 29 to 507 of the family's 1533-position model. The record is from RNAcentral.